RNAcentral lists this ribosomal RNA (497 nucleotides) under uncultured bacterium. RNAcentral's name for it is "partial 16S ribosomal RNA". It matches the Rfam family "Bacterial small subunit ribosomal RNA", at positions 28 to 507 of the family's 1533-position model. The record is from RNAcentral.
GAUGAACGCUGGCGGCGUGCCUAAUACUUGCCAGUCGAGCGAACAGACGAUGAGCUUGCUCCUCUGACGUUAGCGGCUGACGGGUGAGUAACACGUGGAUAACCUACCUAUAAGACUGGGAUAACUUCGGGAAACCGGAGCUAAUACCGGAUAAUAUAUUGAACCGCAUGUUUCAAUAGUGAAAGACGGUUUUGCUGUCACUUAUAGAUGGAUCCGCGCCGCAUUAGCUAGUUGGUAAGGUAACGGCUUACCAAGGCAACGAUGCGUAGCCGACCUGAGAGGGUGAUCGGCCACACGGGAACUGAGACGCGGUCCAGACUCCUACGGGAGGCAGCAGUAGGGAAUCUUCCGCAAUGGGCGAAAGCCUGACGGAGCAACGCCGCGUGAGUGAUGAAGGUCUUCGGAUCGUAAAACUCUGUUAUUAGGGAAGAACAAAUGUGUAAGUAACUAUGCACGUCUUGACGGUACCUAAUCAGAAAGCCACGGCUAACUACGUG